GACGAACGCUGGCGGCGUGCUUAACACAUGCAAGUCGAACGGUAAGGCCCUUCGGGGUACACGAGUGGCGAACGGGUGAGUAACACGUGGGUGAUCUGCCCUGCACUUCGGGAUAAGCCUGGGAAACUGGGUCUAAUACCGGAUAGGACCACUGCCUGCAUGGGUGGUGGUGGAAAGCUUUUGCGGUGUGGGAUGGGCCCGCGGCCUAUCAGCUUGUUGGUGGGGUGAUGGCCUACCAAGGCGACGACGGGUAGCCGGCCUGAGAGGGUGACCGGCCCAACGGGGGCUGAGAUACGGCCCAGACUCCUACGGGAGGCAGCAGUGGGGAAUAUUGCACAAAGGGCGCAAGCCUGAUGCAGCGACGCCGCGUGAGGGAUGACGGCCUUCGGGUUGUAAACCUCUUUCAGUAGGGACGAAGCGCAAGUGACGGUACCUACAGAAGAAGGACCGGCCAACUACGUGCCAGCCGCCGCCGUAA
RNAcentral lists this ribosomal RNA (478 nucleotides) under uncultured bacterium. RNAcentral's name for it is "partial 16S ribosomal RNA". It matches the Rfam family "Bacterial small subunit ribosomal RNA", at positions 28 to 523 of the family's 1533-position model. The record is from RNAcentral.